GAUGAACGCUGGCGGCGUGCCUAAUACAUGCAAGUCGAGCGAACGGACGAGAAGCUUGCUUUUCUGAUGUUAGCGGCGGACGGGUGAGUAACACGUGGAUAACCUACCUAUAAGACUGGGAUAACUUCGGGAAACCGGAGCUAAUACCGGAUAAUAUUUUGAACCGCAUGGUUCAAAAGUGAAAGACGGUCUUGCUGUCACUUAUAGAUGGAUCCGCGCUGCAUUAGCUAGUUGGUAAGGUAACGGCUUACCAAGGCAACGAUGCAUAGCCGACCUGAGAGGGUGAUCGGCCACACUGGAACUGAGACGCGGUCCAGACUCCUACGGGAGGCAGCAGUAGGGAAUCUUCCGCGAUGGGCGAAAGCCUGACGGAGCAGCGCCGCGUGAGUGAUGAAGGUCUUCGGAUCGUAAAACUCUGUUAUUAGGGAAGAACAUAUGUGUAAGUAACUGUGCACAUCUUGACGGUACCUAAUCAGAAAGCCACGGCUAACUACGUG
This 497-nucleotide ribosomal RNA is filed under the name uncultured bacterium. RNAcentral describes it as "partial 16S ribosomal RNA". It matches the Rfam family "Bacterial small subunit ribosomal RNA", at positions 28 to 507 of the family's 1533-position model. The record is from RNAcentral.